GCCUAUGGCAGCUGACUCCCCAGCCUCUGUGCUCUCCCUAUUGUCCAGGAGAGGGCGCCACCACCAGUUCUGACAAGACUGGCUGCUCCGUGGCUUCCCUUUUCACCACCACGCCGCCUGCUAAGUGUCUGGGUGCCCUGGGAUCUGGAGGGGGCACCCAAGAGAGGCUUCUUAAUGUUUUAUCUGCUGCUUAUUCCUGCACAGCAAGUCACUUGACCUGUUUGCGAUUUCUUGCUCUGGUUCUUGAAGAUCGCCUGGAUGUUCUCAGCUGGAACUCUAUGGGAAAGUGAUCGCUCACUGCUAAAGCCUGUGAACUCUGAUGCAGCACAGCGGCUGACUCCAGAGAUGGGAGAUUUACAGCUGCACACACUCUAGUUAUGCAUUGCCACGUACGACGAACCUGCACUUCUGUCAUCGAAAAGGCAUGCUGGAAAUCAAAGAUAUUUGCUGAGUUUGGCAUAAGGGCUUUUAUGAGCUUGUCUCCAUGCAGCACAAUCCUAUGGGAAAGAACAAAGUAUUAGCCAUUUAUGCAGUCACAGAAGAAAUCCAUUACUCUCAAAAAAGAAAAAGGUUAGCGUUUUAGGCUGGGGGAUUAUGUUUGCUGUAUGGUGGCAUCACAACAGUGUCAGAGGCUUGCAGCCAAUGUUUUGGCUAGUAAAUUUCAAACAGCCCGCCCUCAAAUAAUCAGCAGUCUAUGGGAAACUCUUUUUCUUUCUGGAACCUGCCGUCCACCUUAAACCACACCCUGAUAGAUGCCUGUUGGGUUGCCUGUCAUUUCCUCUCCCACCACCUUUUCUCUGUCUCCUGCUUCUCUCUUGCAUGCAUACAGUGAGACAGGCUUACAGCAUGCAUGUGUUUUAGGAAGCAAGUUCCAUGCAAGCCAGUUGUGUCCUGUGUCACUACAUAGGAUCGUAGCCUUGUUUGCCCUUGCCUUUCUGUCUUACCUGACAAAGAACCUCUUUCCUCUGACAGCAGCUACUUUGAGAGCUGCUCCUGCUGCGAGCAAAUGUGCAACAGCUGAGGACCUUCAGAUUGAUGGGGGCAGAGAAGGCAGGGCAGGCCCGUCCAGAGAGCAAGAGGAUGGAGAGGUCAUGACCAGACAGUUCGCUUAUUUAUUUAAAUUGAUAUACUGCCCUUCAUACUAAGACCCCAGGGCAGUUAACAAGAAGAUAAAAACAAUUCAAUAAAAACAGAAAUACAGCUAAAAGUUUAAAAAGCGCGAAGGACAGCUCAAAAGCCUGGAUACAAAGGUCAGUCUUCACUUUCCUCAAGCCACCUAAUGGAGCAGUGGGGAAGCAACUUGCCUAGGGAGCAAGAGGCUGUCAGUUUGAAUCCCUGCUGGUGUGUGGUCACCAGGAAUCGACACAAUAGUCCCUUUCCCUUUUUCACUUUCCUCCUAAAGCUUAGGAGAGAGGGAGCCAUGCGGGUCUCUGGUGAGAGUGAGUUUCACAGCCUGGGGGCAGCCUAGUCGGGGAGGGGAAGCACCAUGCCAACAGGAACAAAGGAAGAAAAAGGAAUGGUGUACUGGCACCUGUUCCUGUUCUCUUGCUUACAGCCUGGAGGUAACCACUGAGAAGGCUCUGACCCACAUGCUUGACAAAUGGGCCUCAGCAGGUGUCGCCACACAGAGCAGAGUCCUCCCAGCGGAUCUAGCCAGGUGAGUAGAUUCAGCUGGGAGCAGACAGUCUCUAAGGUACCCAGGGCCCAAGCCGUUUAGGGCUUUAAAGAUAAUAACGAACACCUUGAAUUGUACCCCAAAACAGACUGGCAGCCAGCGCAGUACCUUCAAGACUGGACUUCAUGGCAGUAAGCCCCAUUGAACUCAACAGAAUUUUUUUUUUUUUUUUUUGCUCUCCCGGUGGCCAUUCGUUCCUCAGACUCCAUCACGGCUUUUAGAAAGCUUUUAAAGACUUGGCUUUUUACCCAGGCUUUUACAUGAUUGUUUUUACUGCGGCUUCUCUGUUUUUAUCUGUUAUCUGUUGUCAUGUUUUUAUGCUUGUUUAUAUGUUUUUAGCUUGAUGUUUUUACUGCUUUUAUUGUAUGUUUUAAUUUUUGUAAACCGCCUUGGGGUUUUCUUUUAACGAAAGGCGGUAUAGAAAUGUAAAAAUAAAUAAAUAAAAAAAACAGGACCUGCUUCCAAGAAAAUAAACACAGAUGUGGACUGCAGUAUAUAAAGCUCCCUUACACUGAGUCAGACAGCUCUAAGUAGUAGCAGCUCUUCAAGGCCUCAAGCAGAU
Long non-coding RNA from Hemicordylus capensis (graceful crag lizard), 2237 nucleotides. RefSeq lists it as uncharacterized. The record is from RefSeq and is a predicted model, not a curated record. The transcript has 3 exons. Lineage: Eukaryota; Metazoa; Chordata; Lepidosauria; Squamata; Cordylidae.